Molecule: small RNA, 191 nt
Filed under: Marmota monax (woodchuck)
Lineage: Eukaryota; Metazoa; Chordata; Mammalia; Rodentia; Sciuridae
Source: RNAcentral
UCUGUAAAAUAUACUAAAAAACAUUGGAUUGUGUACUUUAAAUGGGUGAAGUUAUGGUAUAUAAAUUAUACCCCAUUAGAGCUGUUAAGAGUGUGUGAGUUAAUGGUGUGUGUGUGUGUGUGUGUGUGUGUGUACCCAUGUUCACUCAGGAUGGGGCAGCACCAAAUUGGCUCCCUCUGGCCCCCACAGAC